This 2879-nucleotide long non-coding RNA is filed under the name Marmota monax (woodchuck). Lineage: Eukaryota; Metazoa; Chordata; Mammalia; Rodentia; Sciuridae. The record is from RNAcentral.
GGGCAAGAGGCUGUGGCUCCAGAGGGCACGGGAAGGAGCCUGUGUGACGGCAGAGCUCUGUGUUUGGCCAGUGUCCGUGGCAUUGUGGGUUCAGGCGCUGUGAAAGACUCUGGUUUUGCAGGACGUUAUCAUCAGGGAAGACUGGGGGAAGGGUACGUGGGAUCUGUCUGCGUUAUUUUUUACAAUUCUACGUGAACCUACAAUUACCUCAGAAGGUUGAAUUAAAAAUAUAUGUAAGCUCUGGAAAGAAAAAGAAAAGGAAAGGGAGAAAGCAAGGAGUUCACGGGGCCAUCUGCAUCGGAGGCGCAGAGUUUCCAUUCUCUCCGAGCACUGGAAAGGGAGCUUGGACAAUGUCUGAACCGGAUACACUCAGGCAGGGCAGAGAGGGGUCCCCUGGCUGAGAGCGCGGGUAAGGUAGAUGGCAAUAGGAGAGGCAGAGAUGGCCAGAAUCCCCAGAGGUAUGGGGUACAGAGUAAAUAUUGGUCAUCUGGGCAGGCAGCACUCAUUGAGCACCUACUGAGUACCAGGUGCUGUUCUAGGGCUAGGGAAUUAAGCCAGCAUGCCUGCCUGCAAUUCUUGUGUUUUUAGAAUGGGAGAGAGACAAAAACAGGCAACAACUAAGUGACUAGAGCAAUAUCAGGUGCUGCCAGGUGCUACGAAGAUGCACAGAGUGGCUGAGGGGCUGCUUUUGCAGGAGUGGUCAGGGAAGGCUUCUCUGAGGAGGUGGCAUUGAGGAAGACCUAAAUGAGAAGGAGGCAGCCGUGUGAACAUGUGCAGAGGAAUAUUCCAAGCAGUAGGAAGAGCAGGUGCAAGAGUCCUGAGGCAGAGACAAGCGUGCUGUGUUUGAUAUCCUAGCCCUCCCACACCUCCCUCCCCAUGAAGGCCACAGAGAGGGAGAUAUUGGAGAUGAAGCUGAAGAGAUGGGCAAGGGCCAGUUCCUCUAGGUACUUGCAGUCUUUGGUAAGGAGUUGGUAUUGGGCAGCCCCUGGAAUGUUCUAAGUAGGGACACAAUUUGCUGUGUAGGGGCCUGGAUUUUAGAGAAGCAAGAGUGGAAGACAGGAGAUUGUGCCAUGCUACUGCAGUAGUCUGUGUAAGAUGGUGGUAGUGGGACUAGGGUUUUGGCAGUGAGAUGAAGAAUUGUGAGAUUUAGGGAUUCUUUGAAAGUAUCUCUAAAAAAGAUUCACUGAGGGUCUAGAUAUGGGUGGUGUAAUGGUUAAUUUGAAUAGUCAACUUGAUUGGAUUAAGAGAUGCAAAGGCUUAAGAGGGUUAUGGGUGUGUCAGUGAGGGUGUGUCUAGGAAUGAUUGGCAUGUGGGAUGGCCAACUGAAAUGGAGACCCUCCCUAAGUGUGGGCAGCACCGACCAAUAGGAUGAUGGCUUAGAUGGAAUAAAAGUUGGAAGAAUAAGAAAGCAGGAGUAGAUGCAAGCUUGAGUCUUCCUGAACAGGUUCUUGAUUGCUGCUGGGAUCAUCAAAGGAUAUUGGACUCUUGCUUCUUCACUCUUCCAAAGGGGACUCUGACAGUGGUUCUGCAGAAAGCUUAGGUCUCAGACUAGGUUAACACCCUUUAUCCCUCUUGUUCUGGGGCUUCAGCCUCUUGGACUGGGCACCUCCUGGUUCUCCCCGCUCUCCAGCCUGCAGACGGCCAUUGUGAACUAUCCAGCUUUUGGUCACAUAAGCCAAACUAGUAAUCCCCCCUUUUAUAAUAAUACUUCCUGUUGCUUCUAUUCCUCUAGAGAACCCUGACUAAUACAGGCGGGAUGGCAAGGGAAAAAUAAAAGCAGGAUGCCACCUCGGUCUGCCAGUUAUACUCUAGCACAGCUAAGUCCAGGGCUAGCCACAUUCUUCUUGGUUCUUAUGAAGUUCCUUCUGGGGACAUCUCUAAAAUAAAUAAAGGAUUAGGCCACGCACAGUGACACAUGCCUGUAAUCCCAGCAGCUUGGGAGACUGAGGCAGGAGGAUCACGAGUUCAAAGCCAGCCUCAGCAAAAGUGAGGCACUAAGCAACUCAUUAAGACCCUGUCUCUAAACAGAAUAAAAAGUAGAGCUAGGGAUAUGGCCCAGUGGUCAAUGCCCCUGAGUUCAAUCCCUGGUACCCCCGACCCCACAAAUAAAAUAAAGUAUUGGGUGGAAACCCUGUAAGCACAGGGCGGGGUGGGAAUCCACAUCACCAGUUUCCAUGCUGUGGGUCCUGGGCUCUUUCUUCAUUCAGGGAGCCAAGAUCAAGUUCAGCUUUCUGUGUCAAUGGAAUUGGCUGUAGGAGAUGGAUCAGGAGGUGAGGAAGGUGUGACCGUCCUAGCAGCUGCCUUAUGAUGUCCAAGGAGAAACGUUCAUCUUCCCACCCUCCUUGGAAGCAGUUAAGACUAGGCUUCUCUGCACACUGCUCACGUCUCCAUGGUCCUGGCACAGAUAUGCUCCCUGCUGUCCUUGUCCUCAGCCAUGCUGCUUGGCCCCUUAUUCUCUGGGUACUUCCAGCUCACAGCACAGAGUCCCCCACAGGGCCUGUCUGCAGGGAGAAGGGCUCAGGCCAGUCCCAGACUAAGGCAGCUGGAGUCCUUGAUGUCUUUCCUGAAGGUCAUUGUCUUUGGCUCACAUACAUAUUCCUGGCCUACUUGUGGCCCAUGGAUCACAGAACACAAAAUGUGCAUAGCAGUUCAGGUGCCAAGGGCCAGCGGUGAUCUUCAAAGAUGUGGUUGUCAUCAGGUUUGUGGACUGUCCUAGACACAAAAGCCACAUAAUCUAGAAAGACCAGUGUCAGGUGGCCCAGAAGGGACUCACAUAAUGGUUAAUGACUUCUUUUGAUAAAAGCAUGAGAAACACAGAAAAUAGUCUUGUAUUUGCUUUAUAAUCUGUCUCUGGUGACUUGGAAUUAACUUUAUUUCUG